AAAAAAACUCCCCCCAACCCAAAAGAAAAUAAAUAAUAAUUCAACUACAUAAGAUACAUAUUAGAUAAUGGAUAUCCCUUCAGGCAACUUUAACUACAGUGCAAUGUAAAUUUGGCACAAAUUCCAAAAAAUCCAUUGUGAGCAUCGACGGUCUUGGCCGCCGUGGCAGUGGAUCGUAACUUGUAUAUUCUGCGUUUGUUACCGGCGAUUUAACAUUUACUGCCGUCCGUUCCACUGUUUUAAGCCAUUUAGCUUGCAUGUACUUUUGUUUCCGCCAUGGUGCAACGUGUAUUUUCUUCACCUUCAUGCAUUUCUUAGCACCAUUGCACAAAAUCUUUAUUACUGACAAUAAUCUCUCUAUUUUCCCUACAAACACUUCUGGUAGGCAUUUCACUAGUCGAUUGUAUCCUUCACUUGCUUUUGCUAAUUCAAAUUCACAUCGAAAAUUUAAUUCUAUAAUUAUUCUGACUUCUCCUUUUUUAAGGCUCGAGUUAUCCACCACGUCUAUAAAUGUAUGUUCACCUGAGGGAAUAUCCGGUGAGCUUUUCCAUUUAGAUUUACAAAUUGCUGAGUUAAACCCAGCAUUUUGUAAACGACUGGACACCUCUUUCAUAAGACAGUUGCGGCAGCCAUCUCCGACCAUUUUCCGGCAAGAGCAAACAUUUUCCGAUUGCUUUGUUUCUUUAGUAAUGCUUCGGAUUUGUGAUUCCAACGAUGUUGUUCGGCAUAAUACAGAUUGUAAAAGUUGAUGUUGAUUUUCCCAAAAUUGAUUGUCUUCAACAUUUUCUUUGUUUUCGUUGUCGUCAUCAUCGUCCUCGUCAUCUCGAUUAUUAACAUAAACAUCGUCGUUAAUACUUUCCGGUGACGAACUUUGAACCUCCUCAUCCAAAAAGCUGAAAACUGUAUCGGAAUUGUUUAUAGUAGGCUCACCGGAAAUCUCAAUUUCCCGGUGGUCCCACGUCAAAAUCCGGUGAUUUAGAGGUUUCCGAGCCAUAACUCCGACCAUUAUUGUAAUAUAAAUUAUUAAAAUGAGAGGUAGAUAGAAAAUAGAAAA
RNAcentral lists this unclassified non-coding RNA (1054 nucleotides) under Hevea brasiliensis (rubber tree). The record is from RNAcentral. Lineage: Eukaryota; Viridiplantae; Streptophyta; Magnoliopsida; Malpighiales; Euphorbiaceae.